ACGUGACGCGUGUUAGUGGCGUGGCCUGUAACUGCAGAAAUCCAUGUGAAUAUGGACACAUGCAGAUGGGAUCUGAUCCUUGCAGUAUAUAAUGUGAACAGGUCUUCUUGCAGCAAAGGCACAUCGACCGUGUGGCCCCUACAUAUACAUAUACAUAUAU
Solea senegalensis (Senegalese sole) is the source of this 160-nucleotide long non-coding RNA. RefSeq lists it as uncharacterized. NCBI's taxonomy places the organism in Eukaryota, Metazoa, Chordata, Actinopteri, Pleuronectiformes, Soleidae. The record is from RefSeq and is a predicted model, not a curated record. The transcript is spliced from 3 exons.